GACGAACGCUGGCGGCGUGCUUAACACAUGCAAGUCGAACGGUAAGGCCCUUCGGGGUACACGAGUGGCGAACGGGUGAGUAACACGUGGGUGAUCUGCCCUGCACUUCGGGAUAAGCCUGGGAAACUGGGUCUAAUACCGGAUAGGACCACUGCCUGCAUGGGUGGUGGUGGAAAGCUUUUGCGGUGUGGGAUGGGCCCGCGGCCUAUCAGCUUGUUGGUGGGGUGAUGGCCUACCAAGGCGACGAGGGGUAGCCGGCCUGAGGGGGUGACCGGCCACGCUGGGAGUGAGGUACGGCCCAGACUCCUGCGGGAGGCAGCAGUGGGGAAUAUUGCACAAUGGGCGCAAGCCUGAUGCAGCGACGCCGCGUGAGGGAUGACGGCCUUCGGGUUGUAAACCUCUUUCAGCACCGACGAAGCGCAAGUGACGGUAGGUGCAGAGGAAGGACCGGCCAACUACGUGCCAGCCGCCGCCGUAA
Molecule: ribosomal RNA, 478 nt
Filed under: uncultured bacterium
Lineage: Bacteria
Description: partial 16S ribosomal RNA
Rfam family: Bacterial small subunit ribosomal RNA
Source: RNAcentral